Hylaeus anthracinus is the source of this 1157-nucleotide long non-coding RNA. RefSeq lists it as uncharacterized. The transcript has 4 exons. Lineage: Eukaryota; Metazoa; Arthropoda; Insecta; Hymenoptera; Colletidae. The record is from RefSeq and is a predicted model, not a curated record.
CCUUACCGAAAUUUGAAUUAUUUUAUUCCAGCGUUUUAGAAAAAUCGAUUCUUUUGGUACAUUUCCUGGCGGAUGAUGUUUAGCGUAGCAAGUAAUGCAGAAGCCUGCAACUCCGCCGGGUCCGGGUUCGAAUCCCGGCGAAUAAGAAUCCCGUGGAUGGCCCAGUUCUCCUGUAUCGAUACCGGGAUACUCUCUCAAGUGCCUCCUGCUUUGCCAUAAACUUACCAACGGCUGACCACGUCGGACCACUCGAGAUUCAAUUACCAUAGCUCCGAAAUCGAGUUUCGGGUAAACGAAUGCACCCUCACGCACCCCAAACAGGCGUACGCAAAUACGGUUGGCGAGGCAAUACGUUCGCCGGCAGACGCGGCCUGUACAAAUGGGAUUUCCCGCGGUGGCACGGUUGCUCGUUGUGUGGAAAGAAACGCGUAGAAGGGAAAUCGACGAUGGCGCGAGGGAUAGUAAUGAACGAACACCCUCACGUUUCGCUGUUCGGAGUAGAGGCUGAAAAUUUCGAUUCGCGAUGAGCGUUUUCUCUUCUUCGAGAAUCCAAAGCCCUUGGAAUUUAAUCCUAAGACGACUAUUUGUAUCGCUUUGUUUACUUGGGUCUAACGUGAACACCAUUGGGUAGUUAAAGACGCCUGAGGUUUAAACAGAAACUUUUGACACCAGGAGAAGGAGCGACGAAGUUAUUUAUACAAAAUAAUGUACACAGAAAUAUACCAUAAAAAAGAAAAGAAAGAAGAGUAUUGAAAGCGACCGCGACCGGCGAGAGCUGGGAGAACGCGGGGGCCGACAAAGGGCCGAUCGAAUUCUAUAAACAAAAGGUGGUGAUUCCAACAGACGCCACCAUAGCGACAAGGCAGUCUGCAGCAAUCUGGUUCAGUUUUGUUUCGGAUCCCCGAACGUUACGACGCGUACGGUUUAUUCAAAGAUCGUUGAAGACUGGUGUAAAUUAUUUUAGCUGGGAAGUAUGCAGAUCCACAUAUGAGAAGGAAAAUAAGAAAAACAAUUUGAGCUACAGGUUGCAAAAAAACGUAAAUGGACAGACACGCAGAUACGUUAUAGCCUUGCGUAAGCAAUGCUGACCGUAAUAUAUGGAAAUCUUAUAAAUCACCCCCACGAAGAUACAUGAAAAGAGGAUGAAAGAAACAGCC